CGAGGCCCCAGGUCAGGCGGGACUACCCGCUGAAUUUA
This 38-nucleotide ribosomal RNA is filed under the name Rinorea caudata. RNAcentral describes it as "partial 28S ribosomal RNA". Lineage: Eukaryota; Viridiplantae; Streptophyta; Magnoliopsida; Malpighiales; Violaceae. The record is from RNAcentral.